AUGACGACCGGCGAACGGGUGAGUAACGCGUACACAACCUACCUUCAAGUGGGGGAUAGCCUCGGGAAACUGAGAUUAAUACCCCAUGUGAUUAACUUAUAGUAUGAUUGGUUAAUUAAAGUUCCGGCGCUUGAAGAUGGGUGUGCGUCCCAUUAGGUAGUUGGUGAGGUAACGGCUCACCAAGCCGACGAUGGGUAGGGGGCGUGAGAGCGUGGCCCCCCACACGGGUACUGAGACACGGACCCG
This 246-nucleotide ribosomal RNA is filed under the name uncultured bacterium. RNAcentral's name for it is "partial 16S ribosomal RNA". It matches the Rfam family "Bacterial small subunit ribosomal RNA", at positions 88 to 334 of the family's 1533-position model. The record is from RNAcentral.